This 446-nucleotide ribosomal RNA is filed under the name uncultured bacterium. RNAcentral describes it as "bacterial SSU rRNA". It matches the Rfam family "Bacterial small subunit ribosomal RNA", at positions 355 to 825 of the family's 1533-position model. The record is from RNAcentral.
UGGGGAAUCUUGGACAAUGGGCGCAAGCCUGAUCCAGCCAUGCCGCGUGAGUGAAGAAGGCCUUCGGGUUGUAAAGCUCUUUUACCAGGGACGAUAAUGACGGUACCUGGAGAAUAAGCCCCGGCAAACUUCGUGCCAGCAGCCGCGGUAAUACGAAGGGGGCUAGCGUUGUUCGGAAUUACUGGGCGUAAAGCGCACGUAGGCGGAUUGUUAAGUCAGAGGUGAAAUCCCGGAGCUCAACUUCGGAACUGCCUUUGAUACUGGCAAUCUCGAGUCCGGAAGAGGUUAGUGGAAUUCCCAGUGUAGAGGUGAAAUUCGUAGAUAUUGGGAAGAACACCAGUGGCGAAGGCGGCUAACUGGUCCGGUACUGACGCUGAGGUGCGAAAGCGUGGGAGCAAACAGGAUUAGAUACCCUAGUAGUCCCUGAGCGGGCUGGCAAGGCGCAU